UACGAAGGGGGCUAGCGUUGUUCGGAAUUACUGGGCGUAAAGCGUGCGCAGGCGGCUUCUCAAGUCAGGGGUGAAAGCCCAGAGCUCAACUCUGGAACUGCCUUUGAGACUGAGAGGCUUGAGUACGGGAGAGGUGAGUGGAAUUCCCAGUGUAGAGGUGAAAUUCGUAGAUAUUGGGAAGAACACCGAUGGCGAAGGCAGCCAUCUGGACCGACACUGACGCUGAGGCGCGAAAGCGUGGGGAGCAAACAGG
This 253-nucleotide ribosomal RNA is filed under the name uncultured bacterium. RNAcentral's name for it is "partial 16S ribosomal RNA". It matches the Rfam family "Bacterial small subunit ribosomal RNA", at positions 524 to 776 of the family's 1533-position model. The record is from RNAcentral.